GGCUUGUUGGUCAAGGGGUAUGAUUCUUGCUUAGGAUGCGAGAGGUCCUGGGUUCAAUCCCCCGACGAGCCC
This is a non-coding RNA of Danio rerio (zebrafish), 72 nucleotides long. NCBI's taxonomy places the organism in Eukaryota, Metazoa, Chordata, Actinopteri, Cypriniformes, Danionidae. The record is from Rfam.